Molecule: ribosomal RNA, 253 nt
Filed under: uncultured bacterium
Lineage: Bacteria
Description: partial 16S ribosomal RNA
Rfam family: Bacterial small subunit ribosomal RNA
Source: RNAcentral
UACGUAGGGACCAAGCGUUGUUCGGAUUUACUGGGCGUAAAGGGCGCGUAGGCGGCUUGACAAGUCACUUGUGAAAUCUCCGGGCUUAACUCGGAGCGGCCAAGUGAAACUGUCAUGCUAGAGUGCAGAAGGGGCAAUCGGAAUUCUUGGUGUAGCGGUGAAAUGCGUAGAUAUCAAGAGGAACACCUGAGGUGAAGACGGGUUGCUGGGCUGACACUGACGCUGCGGCGCGAAAGCCAGGGGAGCAAACGGG